This 76-nucleotide transfer RNA is filed under the name Pseudobdellovibrionaceae bacterium. RNAcentral describes it as "Bdellovibrionaceae bacterium tRNA-His". It matches the Rfam family "tRNA". Rfam says of the family: Transfer RNA (tRNA) molecules are approximately 80 nucleotides in length. Their secondary structure includes four short double-helical elements and three loops (D, anti-codon, and T loops). Further hydrogen bonds mediate the characteristic L-shaped molecular structure. tRNAs have two regions of fundamental functional importance: the anti-codon, which is responsible for specific mRNA codon recognition, and the 3' end, to which the tRNAs corresponding amino acid is attached (by aminoacyl-tRNA synthetases). tRNAs cope with the degeneracy of the genetic code in two manners: having more than one tRNA (with a specific anti-codon) for a particular amino acid; and 'wobble' base-pairing, i.e. permitting non-standard base-pairing at the 3rd anti-codon position. The record is from RNAcentral. Lineage: Bacteria; Pseudomonadati; Bdellovibrionota; Bdellovibrionia; Bdellovibrionales; Pseudobdellovibrionaceae.
GUGGCCGUAGCUCAGUUGGUAGAGCAUCGGAUUGUGAUUCCGAGGGUCGCCGGUUCAAGCCCGGUCGGUCACCCCA